RNAcentral lists this unclassified non-coding RNA (979 nucleotides) under Caenorhabditis elegans. RNAcentral describes it as "Non-coding transcript of protein-coding gene mob-2". Lineage: Eukaryota; Metazoa; Nematoda; Chromadorea; Rhabditida; Rhabditidae. The record is from RNAcentral.
AUGUCAGAGACAUUACCAAAUCCAGACUCAUCAACGGCCACUGACAGAUCAUUUUAUGCGACGUAAAAGCAGUGGCGUUCCAAUUGAUGACAAAUUACAACAGUUGCACCAACAGUUUUCAACUGAAAAUGAAGACCGUUCACGUCGGAGCAAGGAGAGAACCGCAACGACUGGAACGGGUGGAGCGGCAGUCGCAAGUGCAGCCGAUCGAAUGUCAAAACGUGUCGCGUCAGCAUCGUUGGCAGUCAGGCCACAGGCAAAAUCGUCGGAUUUAAUGUGCGUCUGCGAUUCGAUUGAUGGAAAUACGGUUGCCAAGAUCACAAGUCUUCCAGAAGGCAUCGAAAAGCGAGAAUGGAUUGCUCACAACGUUCUCGGACUUUUCGAGCAUGUAAACGCUUUGUGUGGAACGUUAUCAGAGGUGUGCACCCAACAAUCGUGCCCUCACAUGAGCUUUCCGGGCACGAGCAAAGCAAUUUACACAGACGAACGUGGCAAGCGGCAGGUGUAUCCAGCGGUGCAGUACAUUGAUUGUGUUAUCACACAGUGCGAGUCGAUGAGCCGACAAGAGGAGAUUUUUCCAACUAAAUAUGGCAACAAAUUCAACGGUAACUUUGAGCCGGCGGUGAAGAAAAUGCUCAGCCACUUAUUUCACUGUAUGGGCCACAUGUAUCUGAAACAUUGGGACGUGCUCGGCGCACUGCAACUUCGCCCCCAAUGUGCAAUUGUGUUUGCGCAUAUUGCAGAGUUGGGAAGGACAUUCAGCCUGCUCGAUGCCAAAGAUCAAGAGCAAGUUGACGAAUGUGUGACGGAGGUGCGCCCAAUCCUGCCCGUGCUAUCACAAACGUUAUCUCUGGACGAUCCGGACCAUCCACACGACGGUGAUCGUUCAAGCCGGGUUCCAUCGUCGAAGAGCGGUAGUUGGGGAGGAUACCCGUCACCGGCAGUGUUGUCAUGCAAAGCUUAUGCUCAGACCUGUUGA